AGGAUAAACGCUGGCGGCGUGCCUAACACAUGCAAGUCGAACGCGCUUUCGGGCUUCGGUGCGAGAGCGAGUGGCGGACGGGUGAGUAACACAUGGGUACCUACCUUGGAGUGAGGGAUACCGGCGAGAAAUCGCCGACAAUACCGCAUAGGCUUCUUCACAAGGGAAGCAAAGUGACGCGAGUCACGCUUUGAGAUGGGCCUGUGGCCGAUUAGCUAGUUGGGGGGGUAACGGCUUCCCAAGGCGACGAUCGGUAGCUGGUCUGAGAGGACGAUCAGCCACACUGGGAUUGAGAACGGCCCAGACUCCUACGGGGGGCAGCAGUGAGGAAUUUUCCGCAAUGGAGGCAACUCUGACGGAGCAACGCCGCGUGCAGGAGGAAGGUUUUCGGAUCGUAAACUGCUUUUCUCGGGGACGAGCAAGGGACGGUACCCGAGGAAGAAGCCCCGGCUAACUACGCGCCAGCAGCCGC
RNAcentral lists this ribosomal RNA (472 nucleotides) under uncultured bacterium. RNAcentral's name for it is "SSU rRNA". It matches the Rfam family "Bacterial small subunit ribosomal RNA", at positions 26 to 518 of the family's 1533-position model. The record is from RNAcentral.